AGUGAACGCUGGCGGUAGGCCUAACACAUGCAAGUCGAACGGCAGCACAGUAAGAGCUUGCUCUUACGGGUGGCGAGUGGCGGACGGGUGAGGAAUACAUCGGAAUCUACUUUUUCGUGGGGGAUAACGUAGGGAAACUUACGCUAAUACCGCAUACGACCUACGGGUGAAAGCAGGGGAUCUUCGGACCUUGCGCGAUUGAAUGAGCCGAUGUCGGAUUAGCUAGUUGGCGGGGUAAAGGCCCACCAAGGCGACGAUCCGUAGCUGGUCUGAGAGGAUGAGCAGCCACACUGGAACGUAGACACGGUCCAGACUCCUACGGGAGGCGGCAGUGGGGAAUAUUGGACAAUGGGCGCAAGCCUGAUCCAGCCAUACCGCGUGGGUGAAGAAGGCCUUCGGGUUGUAAAGCCCUUUUGUUGGGAAAGAAAAGCAGCAGGUUAAUACCCCGCUGUUCUGACGGUACCCAAAGAAUAAGCACCGGCUAACUUCGUG
This 492-nucleotide ribosomal RNA is filed under the name uncultured bacterium. Its description in RNAcentral is "partial 16S ribosomal RNA". It matches the Rfam family "Bacterial small subunit ribosomal RNA", at positions 29 to 507 of the family's 1533-position model. The record is from RNAcentral.